CGAACGGGUGAGUAACACGUGGGUGACCUGCCCUUAGCUCUGGGAUAAGCCUGGGAAACUGGGUCUAAUACCGGAUAUGACUCCAUGACGCAUGUUGUGGGGUGGAAAGCCUUGUGCGGCUAGGGAUGGGCCCGCGGCCUAUCAGCUUGUUGGUGGGGUGAUGGCCUACCAAGGCGACGACGGGUAGCCGGCCUGAGAGGGCGACCGGCCACACUGGGACUGAGACACGGCCCAG
Molecule: ribosomal RNA, 235 nt
Filed under: uncultured bacterium
Lineage: Bacteria
Description: partial 16S ribosomal RNA
Rfam family: Bacterial small subunit ribosomal RNA
Source: RNAcentral